CGGAGGAGGAGGCGGCGGAGGCGGAGGCGGUGGUGGAGGUGGCGGCGGCGGAGGAGAUUGCGAAGUCACGACGGAGGCGCCCGUACUAACGACAACCCCUGCACCAUCAACCACAACAACACCUCCCUGCGUAACGACCACCGCGGCUCCACCCUGUGAAACGACCACAGAGGCUCCCCCCUGUGAGACAACCACAGAGGCUCCCACCUCCGAGACGACCACCGAGGAGUUGGUGACCACCGAGAGGGCGACACCCGCGACCUCCGAGGCGCCGACCACCGAAAGGGCGACGCCCGCCACCUCGCCGGAGCCCACGACCGAGCGCGCGACGCCGGCCACCACGGAAGAGCCGGAAACAACCACCGAGGAGUUGUUGACCACUGAGAGGGCGACCCCCCCUACCCCGGAGGAGCCAACCACCGAGAGGGUGAAGCCACCCACGCCGGAGGAACCCACCACCGAGAGGGCGACGACACCCGCCCUGGAAGAGCUUACCACCGAGAGGGUGCCGUUGGCGCCCAACCUCCGACCCAGACCAGUCCUGCACUGAGGUCCUUUGAGAAGCAAUAAAUCUUUGCAUGUAUUGCUGCCUGAUUUCUUUCUCUUUCAACUCUCAGCGAUCUAGCCUUUAUUUAACUUAUUUUUUCGACGACACGCUUUUGCCUUAAUAUAUUGUAACUACCUCGGCGAUAAUAAAUAUUUAAGAACGCUACGAUAUCAUUA
Long non-coding RNA from Neocloeon triangulifer, 723 nucleotides. RefSeq lists it as uncharacterized. The record is from RefSeq and is a predicted model, not a curated record. Lineage: Eukaryota; Metazoa; Arthropoda; Insecta; Ephemeroptera; Baetidae. The transcript is spliced from 2 exons.